CCUACGGGAUGCAGCAGUAAGGAAUAUUGCUCAAUGGGGGCAACCCUGAAGCAGCAAAGUCGCGUGGAGGAUGACGGUUCUAUGAUUGUUAAACCUUUUUGUUAGAGGAGCUAAUGACGAUAUAUAACGAGUAAGCACCGGCUAACUCCGUGACAGCAGCCGCGGUUAUACGUAGGGUGCCAGCGUUACUCGGAAUCACUUGGCGUAAAGAGAGCGUAGGCGGGAUAGCAAGUCAGAUGUGAAAACGUAUGGCUUAACCAUAGAACUGCAUUUGAAACUGUUAUUCUAGAGUAUGGGAGAGGUAGGCGGAAUUCGUGGUGUAGGGGUAAAAUCCAUAGAGAUCAAGAAGAAUACUCAUUGCGAAGGCGACCUGCUAGAGCACAACUGACGCUGAGGCGCGAAAGCGUGGGGAGCGAACAGGAUUAGAUACCCGAGUAGUC
This 440-nucleotide ribosomal RNA is filed under the name uncultured bacterium. RNAcentral's name for it is "partial 16S ribosomal RNA". It matches the Rfam family "Bacterial small subunit ribosomal RNA", at positions 338 to 795 of the family's 1533-position model. The record is from RNAcentral.